Molecule: long non-coding RNA, 102 nt
Organism: Sapajus apella (tufted capuchin)
Lineage: Eukaryota; Metazoa; Chordata; Mammalia; Primates; Cebidae
Exons: 4
Source: RefSeq, a predicted model, not a curated record
AUCUGGUUAUAAAGAAGCAUGUGAAUGCAUUUAGGGUCCACCCAGAUAAUCCAGGAUAAACCUCUCCUUUCAAAAUCCUUAACUUAAUUAACACUUCUUGCC